UCGAGAAUUUUUCUCAAUGGGGGAAACCCUGAAGGAGCGACGCCGCGUGGAGGAUGAAGGUCUUCGGAUUGUAAACUCCUGUCAUUGGUGAACAAAGCCACGGGUUAACUGCCAUGUGGUUUGCUAGUAGCCGAAGAGGAAGGGACGGCUAACUCUGUGCCAGCAGCCGCGGUAAUACAGAGGUCCCAAGCGUUGUUCGGAUUCAUUGGGCGUAAAGGGUGCGUAGGCGGUAGAGUAAGUUGGAUGUGAAAUCUUGGGGCUUAACCUCAAAAUUGCAUUCAAUACUGCUUUGCUUGAGCGCUGUAGAGGAGAUUGGAAUUUACGGUGUAGCAGUGAAAUGCGUAGAUAUCGUAAGGAACGCCAGUGGCGAAAGCGAAUCUCUGGGCAGCAGCUGACGCUGAGGCACGAAGGCCAGGGGAGCAAACGGG
This 428-nucleotide ribosomal RNA is filed under the name uncultured bacterium. Its description in RNAcentral is "bacterial SSU rRNA". It matches the Rfam family "Bacterial small subunit ribosomal RNA", at positions 355 to 776 of the family's 1533-position model. The record is from RNAcentral.